This 352-nucleotide ribosomal RNA is filed under the name uncultured bacterium. Its description in RNAcentral is "bacterial SSU rRNA". It matches the Rfam family "Bacterial small subunit ribosomal RNA", at positions 9 to 351 of the family's 1533-position model. The record is from RNAcentral.
GUAGUUUGAUCCUGGCUCAGGAUGAACGCUAGCUACAGGCUUAACACAUGCAAGUCGAGGGGAAACGACAUCGAAAGCUUGCUUUUGAUGGGCGUCGACCGGCGCACGGGUGAGUAACGCGUAUCCAACCUGCCCACCACUUGGGGAUAACCUUGCGAAAGUAAGACUAAUACCCAAUGACGUCUCUAGAAGACAUCUGAAAGAGAUUAAAGAUUAUCGGUGAUGGAUGGGGAUGCGUCUGAUUAGCUUGUUGGCGGGGUAACGGCCGCCAAGGCUACGAUCAGUAGGGGUUCUGAGAGGAAGGUCCCCCACAUUGGAACUGAGACACGGUCCAAACUCCUACGGGAGGCGA